AUACGUAUGUCGCAAGCGUUAUCCGGAUUUAUUGGGCGUAAAGCGCGUCUAGGCGGCUUAGUAAGUCUGAUGUGAAAAUGCGGGGCUCAACCCCGUAUUGCGUUGGAAACUGCUAAACUAGAGUACUGGAGAGGUAGGCGGAACUACAAGUGUAGCGGUGAAAUUCGUAGAUAUUUGUAGGAAUGCCGAUGGGGAAGCCAGCCUACUGGACAGAUACUGACGCUAAAGCGCGAAAGCGUGGGUAGCAAACAGGAUUAGAUACCCUGGUAGUCCACGCCGUAAACGAUGAUUACUAGGUGUUGGGGGUCGAACCUCAGCGCCCAAGCUAACGCGAUAAGUAAUCCGCCUGGGGAGUACGUACGCAAGUAUGAAACUCAAAUGAAUUGACGGGG
This 392-nucleotide ribosomal RNA is filed under the name uncultured bacterium. RNAcentral's name for it is "partial 16S ribosomal RNA". It matches the Rfam family "Bacterial small subunit ribosomal RNA", at positions 523 to 918 of the family's 1533-position model. The record is from RNAcentral.